GACGAACGCUGGCGGCGUGCUUAACACAUGCAAGUCGAGCGGUAAGGCCCUUUCGGGGGUACGACGAGCGGCGAACGGGUGAGUAACACGUGGGUGACCUGCCCUCCAGCUCUGGGAUAAGCCUGGGAAACCGGGUCUAAUACUGGAUAUGACUCCAUGACGCAUGUUGUGGGGUGGAAAGCCUUGUGCGGCUGAGGAUGGGCCCGCGGCCUAUCAGCUUGUUGGUGGGGUGAGGCCUACCAAGGCGACGACGGGUAGCCGGCCUGAGAGGGCGACCGGCCACACUGGGACUGAGACACGGCCCAGACUCCUACGGGAGGCAGCAGUGGGGAAGUCUUGCGCAAUGGGCGAAAGCCUGACGCAGCGACGCCGCGUGAGGGAUGACGG
RNAcentral lists this ribosomal RNA (387 nucleotides) under uncultured bacterium. RNAcentral describes it as "bacterial SSU rRNA". It matches the Rfam family "Bacterial small subunit ribosomal RNA", at positions 28 to 414 of the family's 1533-position model. The record is from RNAcentral.